RNAcentral lists this unclassified non-coding RNA (411 nucleotides) under soil metagenome. RNAcentral describes it as "partial contains 5.8S ribosomal RNA, internal transcribed spacer 2, and large subunit ribosomal RNA". The stretch from base 1 to 119 matches the Rfam family "5.8S ribosomal RNA", at positions 35 to 154 of the family's 154-position model. The record is from RNAcentral.
GAUGAAGAACGCAGCGAAAUGCGAUACGUAGUGUGAAUUGCAGAUUAUGUGAACCAUCGAAUCUUUGAACGCAAAUUGCGCCCGAGGCUUCGGCCAAAGGCAUGUCUGCCUCAGCGUCGGCUUCACCCCUCCCCUCCCUUUCCAUGAUUCUUCCGAAGAGGGAAAGGCGAGGGGGACCUGGUUGUCUCGGCCCUCACCGGCCGGGUCCGCCGAAGCACAGAGGCUCGAGCGGGACCCCGUUUACAUGGGCAACAGUCUGGUAGGCGACCACUGACCGGUCGCAUGCCGCUGGUGCCUGGGGCGCCUGCUGGCCGAGCCCGCAGGAAGUGGCUGCACGCCACGCCUUCACCCAUUCGACCUGAGUUCAGGCAAGAGCACCCGCUGAACUUAAGCAUAUCAAUAAGCGGAGGA